UGGGGAAUAUUGGACAAUGGGCGAAAGCCUGAUCCAGCCAUGCCGCGUGUGUGAAGAAGGUCUUCGGAUUGUAAAGCACUUUAAGUUGGGAGGAAGGGCAGUAAGCGAAUACCUUGCUGUCUUGACGUUACCGACAGAAUAAGCACCGGCUAACUCUGUGCCAGCAGCCGCGGUAAUACAGAGGGUGCAAGCGUUAAUCGGAAUUACUGGGCGUAAAGCGCGCGUAGGUGGUUCGUUAAGUUGAAUGUGAAAGCCCCGGGCUCAACCUGGGAACUGCAUCCAAAACUGGCGAGCUAGAGUAGGGCAGAGGGUGGUGGAAUUUCCUGUGUAGCGGUGAAAUGCGUAGGUAUAGGAAGGAACACCAGUGGCGAAGGCGACCACCUGGGCUCGUACUGACACUGAGGUGCGAAAGCGUGGGGAGCAAACAGG
RNAcentral lists this ribosomal RNA (429 nucleotides) under Pseudomonadota bacterium. Its description in RNAcentral is "Proteobacteria bacterium partial 16S ribosomal RNA". It matches the Rfam family "Bacterial small subunit ribosomal RNA", at positions 355 to 776 of the family's 1533-position model. The record is from RNAcentral. Lineage: Bacteria; Pseudomonadati; Pseudomonadota.